Molecule: long non-coding RNA, 2240 nt
Filed under: Oncorhynchus kisutch (coho salmon)
Lineage: Eukaryota; Metazoa; Chordata; Actinopteri; Salmoniformes; Salmonidae
Description: lncRNA (ENSOKIG00005027850.1)
Source: RNAcentral
UAGCUUACUCUAUAUUUUAUAAUCAAUUAAAAAUAAGAAAUUAAACCUGUUUACAUUUUGUUUAUGGCUAUAGCUUGUGGUAAAGCGAAUUAGAAUUUCAUUCUGAUUCGAAACAAUGUGCAAUGACGUGUUCCAUCUCUAUGCGACCGAGAGGGUCACAAUGCCGACGCUUCACAUGGAACUCCAGAACCCAAGAGAUAUGUCCAGAACUCUCAAUAAAUCGUCAGUUCUUGAUCGACAAACAACGAGAGAGACAGUAUUAUUAUGGCAAGCUUUUCAUUCAUCUUCCCUGAAGACAGACGUUGUUCCAUUAAGGACAACGAAGUCAAUUCAGGGUGGAUGUCAAUGGUGACCCAACUCAAUGCCCUUGGUGGUCCAGAGUCAGAGAGUCAGAACAUUGUUCAGAGCUUUGCAGAGGUACUUGGUGACAAGUACCACUACGAGAAUACCAUCAACAGCUCUCUGCUCUGGACUGUUGGGUACACCCCUUACAUUCCCCCAGCUCUGAAAGGAAGAAGCUUCCCUUCUGUCGAGAGCUUCUUCCUGGAUGAGUGGGAUCCACUGACACUCCUGCAGACUCCUCAGGUUCUGUCCACCAGUGUUUCCAUCGAGGAAGACAACCUGAUCCAGUCUGCUGCAGGCCUAGUGUCUCAAGUUCUGUCCACCAGUGUUGCCAUCGUGGAGAAUUACCUGAUCCAGUCUGCUGCAGGCCUAGUGUCUCAGGUUCUGUCCACCAGUGUUUCCAUCGAGGAAGACAACCUGAUCCAGUCUGCUGCAGGCCUAGUGUUUCUGGUUCUGUCCACCAGUGUUUCCAUCGUGGAGAAUGACCUGAUCCAGUCUGCUGCAGGCCUAGUGUCUCAGGUUCUGUCUACCAGUGUUUUCAUCGUGGAGAAUGACCUGAUCCAGUCUGCUGCAGGCCUAGUGUCUCAGGUUCUGUCCACCAGUGUUUCCAUCGUGGAGAAUGACUUGAUCCAGUCUGCUGCAGGCCUAGUGUCUCAGGUUCUGUCUACCAGUGUUGCCAUCAUGGAGAAUGACCUGAUCCAGUCUGCUGCAGGCCUAGUGUCUCAGGUUCUGUCCAGCAGUGACGCUAGAGUGAAGGAUCGUGAUGAUUCCACACUGAGAGACUCCAACCAACUUGAGGUCCAUGUGGCUGAUGUCUCAACCAAGAGAAGUAGACUAGUCAUCACUAUUUCUAUGUUUUCAUCCGAGAGUGGCAAUGCUUCGGUCCAUGAAGUUGAUGCUAUUGCUACCAGCCUGGAGCACUCUGCUGAGAAAAUGUCUACCUCUACCGCUAAUGGCCAUAUUGUUUCAUCCACUGCUGUAGCCAAUCAGAAGAAAACAAGGGGUGGAUUCAUCUCAUCUCUACGGAGACUGUUCACAAGAAAGAACAGGAUGCCUGUCAGUAAUACUUAAAUAGUCUUUUGUACUAUAAUAUGUUAUAAUUUCUUAACUAUUGUUAUACUAAUAUCCUUUGUUAAUGGUUGUCUUUAAAAUAUUUUUCUCUAUUGUCUACUUGUCUGUUUUUCAGGCUUAAAGUGGCAUCAAAGAAGGAGCACGUUCACUUGGUUGACCGCCUCAAUGCUGAAGUCACCCACUGAGGACACUCACUCACUGCUGAAGGCAUCCAGAAUGAUGCUUCUGUUUCUCCUCAACACCACCUACACCCCUGCCCCUCUCCCCCACACCAAACCCUACCAGGGUUGAGGUGAAUUCCAGAUCAAUUCAGUCAAUUCAGCAAGUCAACUGAAAUUCCAAUUCCAAUUGUUUCUCAUAGGAGGCAAUGAGGUAAAUUUGAAUUGCUAUUGGAAUUUCAGUUUACUUACUGAAUUGACUGAAUUGAAAAUGAAUUGACCCCAACCCUGAUCCCCAAGCCCCCACCCCAUCCAUUUCUAUCUUCAGUAAAUUUUGUAGAAUUUUAUUUGAAGUUGUUUUGGAUCUUCAUUAAAACCACAAUACAUCUCUAAUGAGGGUCACUCAUGUUACACAUCUAGAUUUAUCAUCAAAUAUCGUAGAAUUCAACAACAAAUGCAGAAAAACUGAAAACUUUUGCUGACAUUCGGUUACAAUGUAACUACACUGAACAAAAAUAUUAGCGCAACAUGUAAAGUGUUGGUCCCAUGUUUCAUGAGCUGAAAUAAAAUCCCAGAAGUGUUCCAUAUGUACAAAAAGGUUAUUUCUCUCAAAUGUUGUGUUUACAUCCCUGUUAGUGAGCAUUUCUCCUUUGCCAAGAUAAUCCAUCC